AAAAAACCCGGGAAAUUGGGAAAAAUCCUUGGGGAACCCGUCCUGGUGCUCCCAAAAUCCCAAAAUCCCGGGUUUUUUCCCCAAACUCCCAGGAAUCUCCUUCCCCAAAAUUCGAGGGUUUUUCCUCAAAAUCCCAGGAAUCUCCUUCCCCAAAAUCCCAGGGUUUUCCCCCAAAAAUCACAGGAAUCUCCUUCCCUAAAAUCCCAGGGUUUUUCCCAAAAAUCCCAGGGAUCUCCUUGCCCAAAAUCCCAGGGUUUUUCCCCAAAAUCCCAGGGUUUUUCCCCAAAAUCCCAGGGUUUUUUCCGGAACCAUCCACGCGGAUCGACAGCAGCCCGUAACCGGGACCCCGCGCCGCUGACCGGGGAAAAAACCCGGGAAAUUGGGAAAAAUCCUCGGGGAACCCGUCCUGAUGCUCCCAAAAUCCCAAAAUCCCGGGUUUUUUCCCCAAAAUCCCAGGGUUUUUCCCCAAAAUCCCAGUUUUUUUCCUCAAAAUCCCAGGAAUCUCCUUCCCCAAAAUCCCAGUUUUUUUCCCAAAAAUCCCAGGGACCUCCUUCCCCAAAAUCCCAGGGUUUUUCCCCAAAAUCACAGUUUUUUUCCUUAGAUUCCCAGGGAUCUCCUUCCCCAAAAUCCAAGGGUUUUUCCCCAAAAUCCCAGGG
Poecile atricapillus (Black-capped chickadee) is the source of this 656-nucleotide long non-coding RNA. RefSeq lists it as uncharacterized. NCBI's taxonomy places the organism in Eukaryota, Metazoa, Chordata, Aves, Passeriformes, Paridae. The transcript is spliced from 3 exons. The record is from RefSeq and is a predicted model, not a curated record.